GGGUCGAUGCCCGAGCGGUUAAUGGGGACGGACUGUAAAUUCGUUGACGAUAUGUCUACGCUGGUUCAAAUCCAGCUCGGCCCA
Zea mays is the source of this 84-nucleotide non-coding RNA. The record is from Rfam. NCBI's taxonomy places the organism in Eukaryota, Viridiplantae, Streptophyta, Magnoliopsida, Poales, Poaceae.